AAUCAACGCUGGCGGCGUGCCUCAGACAUGCAAGUCGAACGAUUAAAGCUCUCUUCGGAGAGUGCAUAGAGUCGCGCACGGGUGAGUAACACGUAAGUAAUCUACCUUCGAGUGGGGAAUAACGUCCGGAAACGGGCGCUAAUACCGCAUAAUGCAGCGGCAUCGCAAGAUGACAGUUGUUAAAGGAGCAAUCCGCUUGAAGAGGAGCUUGCGGCAGAUUAGCUAGUUGGUAGGGUAAUGGCCUACCAAGGCUACGAUCUGUAACCGGUCUUAGAGGACGGUCGGUCACACUGACACUGAAUAACGGGUCAGACUCCUACGGGAGGCAGCAGUCGGGAAUUUUGGGCAAUGGGGGAAACCCUGACCCAGCAACGCCGCGUGAAGGAUGAAGUAUUUCGGUAUGUAAACUUCGAAAGAAUAGGAAGAAUUAAUGACGGUACUAUUUAUAAGGUCCGGCUAACUACGUGCCAGCAGCCGCGG
Molecule: ribosomal RNA, 480 nt
Filed under: uncultured bacterium
Lineage: Bacteria
Description: bacterial SSU rRNA
Rfam family: Bacterial small subunit ribosomal RNA
Source: RNAcentral